This 460-nucleotide ribosomal RNA is filed under the name uncultured bacterium. RNAcentral's name for it is "partial 16S ribosomal RNA". It matches the Rfam family "Bacterial small subunit ribosomal RNA", at positions 338 to 795 of the family's 1533-position model. The record is from RNAcentral.
CCUACGGGUGGCUGCAGUGAGGAAUAUUGGUCAAUGGGCGAGAGCCUGAACCAGCCAAGUCGCGUGACGGAUGACGGCCCUUCGGGUUGUAAACUUCUUUUGUCAGGGAGCAAUUGAGUCCACGUUUGUUCUUAGCUAGAUUACCUGAAGAAAAGGCAUCGGCUAACUCCGUGCCAGCAGCCGCGGUAAUACGGAGGAUGCGAGCGUUAUCCGGAUUUAGUGGGUUUAAAGGGUGCGUAGGCGGAAUAUCAAGUCAGCGGUAAAAAUUCGGGGCUCAACCCCGUCGUGCCGUUGAGACUGAUGUUCUUGAGUGGGCGAGAAGUAUGCGGAAUGCGUGGUGUAGCGGUGAAAUGCAUAGAUAUCACGCAGAACUCCGAUUGCGAAGGCAGCAUACCGGCGCCCAACUGACGCUGAAGCACGAAAGCGUGGGUAUCGAACAGGAUUAGAGACCCGAGUAGUC